RNAcentral lists this ribosomal RNA (468 nucleotides) under uncultured bacterium. RNAcentral describes it as "partial 16S ribosomal RNA". It matches the Rfam family "Bacterial small subunit ribosomal RNA", at positions 28 to 507 of the family's 1533-position model. The record is from RNAcentral.
GACGAACGAUGGCGGCGUGCUUAACACAUGCAAGUCGAACGGAAAGGCCCUGCUUUUGUGGGGUGCUCGAGUGGCGAACGGGUGAGUAACACGUGAGUAACCUGCCCUUGACUUUGGGAUAACUUCAGGAAACUGGGGCUAAUACCGGAUAGGAGCUCCUGCUGCAUGGUGGGGGUUGGAAAGUUUCGGCGGUUGGGGAUGGACUCGCGGCUUAUCAGCUUGUUGGUGGGGUAGUGGCUUACCAAGGCUUUGACGGGUAGCCGGCCUGAGAGGGUGACCGGCCACAUUGGGACUGAGAUACGGCCCAGACUCCUACGGGAGGCAGCAGUGGGGAAUAUUGCACAAUGGGCGGAAGCCUGAUGCAGCAACGCCGCGUGCGGGAUGACGGCCUUCGGGUUGUAAACCGCUUUCGCCUGUGACGAAGCGUGAGUGACGGUAAUGGGUAAAGAAGCACCGGCUAACUACGUG